Molecule: transfer RNA, 72 nt
Filed under: Singulisphaera acidiphila DSM 18658
Lineage: Bacteria; Pseudomonadati; Planctomycetota; Planctomycetia; Isosphaerales; Isosphaeraceae
Description: tRNA-Cys (ACA) (tRNA-Cys-ACA-1-1)
Rfam family: tRNA
About the family: Transfer RNA (tRNA) molecules are approximately 80 nucleotides in length. Their secondary structure includes four short double-helical elements and three loops (D, anti-codon, and T loops). Further hydrogen bonds mediate the characteristic L-shaped molecular structure. tRNAs have two regions of fundamental functional importance: the anti-codon, which is responsible for specific mRNA codon recognition, and the 3' end, to which the tRNAs corresponding amino acid is attached (by aminoacyl-tRNA synthetases). tRNAs cope with the degeneracy of the genetic code in two manners: having more than one tRNA (with a specific anti-codon) for a particular amino acid; and 'wobble' base-pairing, i.e. permitting non-standard base-pairing at the 3rd anti-codon position.
Source: Rfam by way of RNAcentral
GUCGUGGUAGCUCAGCGGUAGAGCACCAGGCUACAAACCUGGAGGUAACGGGUUCGACUCCCGUCCACAACA